GUGGGGAAUUUUGGACAAUGGGCGCAAGCCUGAUCCAGCAAUGCCGCGUGCAGGAAGAAGGCCUUCGGGUUGUAAACUGCUUUUGUACGGAACGAAACGGUCCUGGCUAAUAUCCGGGGCUAAUGACGGUACCGUAAGAAUAAGCACCGGCUAACUACGUGCCAGCAGCCGCGGUAAUACGUAGGGUGCAAGCGUUAAUCGGAAUUACUGGGCGUAAAGUGUGCGCAGGCGGUUUUGUAAGACAGGCGUGAAAUCCCCGGGCUCAACCUGGGAAUUGCGCUUGUGACUGCAAGGCUGGAGUGCGGCAGAGGGGGAUGGAAUUCCGCGUGUAGCAGUGAAAUGCGUAGAUAUGCGGAGGAACACCGAUGGCGAAGGCAAUCCCCUGGGCCUGCACUGACGCUCAUGCACGAAAGCGUGGGGAGCAAACAGGAUUAGAUACCCUGGUAGUCC
This 450-nucleotide ribosomal RNA is filed under the name uncultured bacterium. Its description in RNAcentral is "partial 16S ribosomal RNA". It matches the Rfam family "Bacterial small subunit ribosomal RNA", at positions 354 to 796 of the family's 1533-position model. The record is from RNAcentral.